UUGACCCCUAGCCUGGGAACCUCCAUGUGCUGCGGCUGUGGCCCUAAAAAGCAAAAUAAAAUUUAAGUAAAAAGGGAGGAACUUGACAUAAUGAAAACUAGUAUUACUCAGUGAUGGAAAAGGUUAGGCAAAACAGUUCCAGUGUUGCUGAGGAAUGGAAUUAUCUCACACCUUUCUUUCUUUAUCAGACUCAUGCGAAAGUGGGGUGAACAAGUAGGAAAACUUAAACAACGAAGUAUUUGCCCAGUCUUUUCCAAGAGUAAAAAGGUUGUUGAAGGUGAAUGACACUGAUGUCAACAUGAUUUUUAGAUCAACACAAGGUACCAUAACAGAUUAAUUUCUAGGUUUUCCAUUUAGUGGAAAUGACAAUAGAUCAUCCAUAAAUAUAAUUCUUAGUAGAGCUUAUAAAAGCAUAGCUGUGUACCCUUAGCAAAUGGUUCCUAUUAGGCAUAACAGAACAAAGCAGUUCUUAAAAUUUAAGUUGGGUAUGUGGCCUCUUUACGUGAUGGGACAUGAGUGAAGAGAUUUCAAACUGCCUGUUUUCUCUGUAAAGGAGAAGUGGCCGAGUCCUAGAAUCCCUGUGCAUAGCCUAUGUUCUUCUAGGUUCUUUAGAAUGUAACUGGUUCUUAAUGCUGGGGACGCCGGGAAGCUUUUAAAAGCACGGAUGCCACAGCCCCACCCCAUACCGGCUGAAUCGGGAUCUAGAGGUGAGUCUAAGUAUUGAAUGGGGGCUUGGCCCAGAAUACCACUUAAUGUAGCAAGAUACAAUCUUGGGCUUCUCUGAAAUAAGUAGAGGUUAAGUCUGGAGUUUCUGGGGGUGGGGGAUCCAGUGUUGUGGGUGAAGCCGUGCAGGCUUCUGUCCUCUCAGCCAUGACAUCAACAUGUAAAUCAUUUAGCUAAAUGAAUUCCUGUGGUACCUAACUAAAUGUCUAAUUCGAUGAUUAAGUGGAGAAAGAUUUAAGAUAAAACAUCCUGAAGUUUUAAAAUGCGAUAACCGUGUAGUUCAUUUUUCAGCAAUGAGGAUGCGCUUUCUCCUGCAUCCACCCACGACUAGCAAAUCGUAUUUGCAGAGGAGUGAACCAAGGAUGAUGAUGCUAACACGGGACUAGGAAGGAGCACUUUUCUGUAUAUACCUUAAGCAGCUCUUGUGCAUCAGAAAUUCAUUCAGCCUUGGUCCAGGCUCGCAUGUGCCAGCUUUAAACAGCUAAUUGACCCAGUCGACAAAUGGAAAUUGAAACCUACAAACUAAAUAAGCCAAUCCCAGUUUUCCAUUUCAGAAGGUAUAAAAACUUUUGGCGAGGGGAAGACAAAAAUAAUUUGAACAUCCACUGCCAAAUGUGCACCAUUCUUUCAGGCUCGUCUGUUUAGAGCAGUUCUAAGCAGGGGGCAGAACCUGUGUUUAAUACUGGUCUGGUCUGUGCUUUUGACACUUCCAGUUGCCAAGCUCGUCCAGGAGGUGGUCAUUCUGAGGGGCUGCUCUUCUGCAGAUCCGGAUAAAGUCUCAGUGCCCCCAAGGUCCAUCCUCUCUGACCACUGGACAGUUUGGGCAAUUCAUAGUUUUCAGGCAGAAUAAGGAAGGUGGCUCGUUAUUUUACCAGUUUUUUUUUUGCCAGCUCAGCUUUGGGGAAAUCCAUCUACCUCUGCAUGGAAUUCAUAAAAUACGUCAGACAAUUGUGUUUGAAACCUACAGAUUCAAAACAUCUUCCUGGCAUCACUAAGACUUUAAAGAAUGAGGAAGAGCUUUUCUUACAUUGUUUUCCAUCAAGAGCAAACUUAAAUACCUUUCAUUUUAUGUUGACUUGGGGGGAAAAAAUGUUUCUUGAUGUUAGGACUUUCACCAGUGACAUUAUAAUCCAAACAGAGCAGAGGACAAAACCUUCUGAGCCGCAGAAACUGGUACCACUGAAAAUCACUGACGCUUAGUGAUUCUGUUCACUGAAAUGAAGGGAUAUGGCACAGAUAGAUGAGUGCGUGCUUCUUAUAAUCCUGCAUUUAUAACAUGAAGGUUAACUUAAAAAAUUGCAACGAUGGAACACAAAAUUUUCCGUUUUUUUUAAUACCAUAGGCUAAUUAAAGAUUGCAAGGAGAAUAGUAGUUUCCACGUGAAAUGCAUUAAAUUGAAGAUACCAGUA
Molecule: non-coding RNA, 2132 nt
Organism: Sus scrofa (pig)
Lineage: Eukaryota; Metazoa; Chordata; Mammalia; Artiodactyla; Suidae
Source: RefSeq, a predicted model, not a curated record